GUACACAAAAAUGCACAUGCUGUGAGCUCGAUGAGUAGGGCGGGACACGUGGUAUCCUGUCUGAAUAUGGGGGGACCAUCCUCCAAGGCUAAAUACUCCUGACUGACCGAUAGUGAACCAGUACCGUGAGGGAAAGGCGAAAAGAACCCCGGCGAGGGGAGUGAAAAAGAACCUGAAACCGUGUACGUACAAGCAGUGGGAGCACGCUUAGGCGUGUGACUGCGUACCUUUUGUAUAAUGGGUCAGCGACUUAUAUUCUGUAGCAAGGUUAACCGAAUAGGGGAGCCGAAGGGAAACCGAGUCUUAACUGGGCGUUAAGUUGCAGGGUAUAGACCCGAAACCCGGUGAUCUAGCCAUGGGCAGGUUGAAGGUUGGGUAACACUAACUGGAGGACCGAACCGACUAAUGUUGAAAAAUUAGCGGAUGACUUGUGGCUGGGGGUGAAAGGCCAAUCAAACCGGGAGAUAGCUGGUUCUCCCCGAAAGCUAUUUAGGUAGCGCCUCGUGAAUUCAUCUCCGGGGGUAGAGCACUGUUUCGGCAAGGGGGUCAUCCCGACUUACCAACCCGAUGCAAACUGCGAAUACCGGAGAAUGUUAUCACGGGAGACACACGGCGGGUGCUAACGUCCGUCGUGAAGAGGGAAACAACCCAGACCGCCAGCUAAGGUCCCAAAGUCAUGGUUAAGUGGGAAACGAUGUGGGAAGGCCCAGACAGCCAGGAUGUUGGCUUAGAAGCAGCCAUCAUUUAAAGAAAGCGUAAUAGCUCACUGGUCGAGUCGGCCUGCGCGGAAGAUGUAACGGGGCUAAACCAUGCACCGAAGCUGCGGCAGCGACGCUUAUGCGUUGUUGGGUAGGGGAGCGUUCUGUAAGCCUGCGAAGGUGUGCUGUGAGGCAUGCUGGAGGUAUCAGAAGUGCGAAUGCUGACAUAAGUAACGAUAAAGCGGGUGAAAAGCCCGCUCGCCGGAAGACCAAGGGUUCCUGUCCAACGUUAAUCGGGGCAGGGUGAGUCGACCCCUAAGGCGAGGCCGAAAGGCGUAGUCGAUGGGAAACAGGUUAAUAUUCCUGUACUUGGUGUUACUGCGAAGGGGGGACGGAGAAGGCUAUGUUGGCCGGGCGACGGUUGUCCCGGUUUAAGCGUGUAGGCUGGUUUUCCAGGCAAAUCCGGAAAAUCAAGGCUGAGGCGUGAUGACGAGGCACUACGGUGCUGAAGCAACAAAUGCCCUGCUUCCAGGAAAAGCCUCUAAGCAUCAGGUAACAUCAAAUCGUACCCCAAACCGACACAGGUGGUCAGGUAGAGAAUACCAAGGCGCUUGAGAGAACUCGGGUGAAGGAACUAGGCAAAAUGGUGCCGUAACUUCGGGAGAAGGCACGC
RNAcentral lists this ribosomal RNA (1371 nucleotides) under Escherichia coli. RNAcentral describes it as "partial 23S ribosomal RNA". It matches the Rfam family "Bacterial large subunit ribosomal RNA", at positions 375 to 1751 of the family's 2925-position model. The record is from RNAcentral. Lineage: Bacteria; Pseudomonadati; Pseudomonadota; Gammaproteobacteria; Enterobacterales; Enterobacteriaceae.